GGAAUUUAACAAAACCCCGGCACGCAUGUGCCAAGGRAAACAAUAAACGRGAAGGACUAGACCUGUUAUGCCCCGUUUGUGGUGUGCAUUCUGAGCGUGUCCUCCUUUGAAUCACAAACGACUCUCGGCAACGG
This 134-nucleotide ribosomal RNA is filed under the name Taraxacum (sect. Naevosa) sp. TL212-3. RNAcentral describes it as "5.8S ribosomal RNA". The record is from RNAcentral. Lineage: Eukaryota; Viridiplantae; Streptophyta; Magnoliopsida; Asterales; Asteraceae.